RNAcentral lists this small RNA (107 nucleotides) under Marmota monax (woodchuck). Lineage: Eukaryota; Metazoa; Chordata; Mammalia; Rodentia; Sciuridae. The record is from RNAcentral.
GCCAGGCACAGUGGCACGCACUUGUAAUCCCAGUGGCUUGGGAGGCUGAGGCAGGAGGAUCACAAGUUCCAAGCUGGCCUCAGCAACAUAGAGAGACCCUGUCUCUA